This 497-nucleotide ribosomal RNA is filed under the name uncultured bacterium. RNAcentral's name for it is "partial 16S ribosomal RNA". It matches the Rfam family "Bacterial small subunit ribosomal RNA", at positions 28 to 507 of the family's 1533-position model. The record is from RNAcentral.
GAUGAACGCUGGCGGCGUGCCUAAUACAUGCAAGUCGAGCGAACAGACGAGGAGCUUGCUCCUCUGACGUUAGCGGCGGACGGGUGAGUAACACGUGGAUAACCUACCUAUAAGACUGGGAUAACUUCGGGAAACCGGAGCUAAUACCGGAUAAUAUAUUGAACCGCAUGGUUCAAUAGUGAAAGACGGUUUUGCUGUCACUUAUAGAUGGAUCCGCGCCGCAUUAGCUAGUUGGUAAGGUAACGGCUUACCAAGGCAACGAUGCGUAGCCGACCUGAGAGGGGGAUAGGCCACACGAGAACGGAGACACGGACCAGACUACUGAGGGAGGCAGCAGUAGGGAAUCGUCCGCAAUGGGCGAAAGCCUGACGGAGCAACGCGGCGUGAGUGAUGAAGGUCUUCGGAUCGUAAAACUGUGUUAUUAGGGAAGAACAAAUGUGUAAGUAACUAUGCACGGCUUGACGGUACCUAAUCAGAAAGCCACGGCUAACUACGUG